RNAcentral lists this long non-coding RNA (1433 nucleotides) under Lactuca sativa (garden lettuce). RNAcentral describes it as "long non-coding RNA (LSAT_LNC004157)". The record is from RNAcentral. Lineage: Eukaryota; Viridiplantae; Streptophyta; Magnoliopsida; Asterales; Asteraceae.
UUUUCUGGUACUCACGAAAUUACACCAUCUCAAUCUCUCUUUCUUUUCUCUCUGAUUUUAUCUGAGCCUUAUCCAAUUGAGGAUUUGGGAGUACCACCCGAAUACUUCGAUUUGAAAGAGAUUAUCACGAUUCUCAUAUUUCCAUGUGCCACUAAACCAUAUUUCUAACAUAAUAUUCUCCUAGCAAAAUGAAGAAUCAUAUUUGAUUUCAAAGUAAUAAAUUUAACAAAAUAAAACUAAAAAUAUCAAAGUCAAAUUUGAUGGGUGGGUUGUUUUCUUGGCUUUAUGAUUUUGUUAUACAUCCUGCCAAUUUAUUGUUUUUUGACCUCACUUUCUUAAUGAUCCCUCUAAAUCUCUUUUUUCAUCUCCUCAUGGAUUUGUUAACCAGUACCCUACAAAGAAACAAUUACCAAGUUUAUAACUAAUUAAACAUCAAGUAAUAUCAUUUAGUUAAUAGCAACAUACUUUCAUCAAAGGAAAUAUGAAUUGAACUUUAUUGAGAUGUUGAUUAGAAAUGGCAAACUUGGUGAACCUAAAUCAAGAGAAACAGAAUGUAAACUUAAACUGCCAAAAUGAUGAAAGGCAUAAAGUACCCUAUUUUUUGUACAUAUAUUAUUUUCUUCUAUCUCUUGUAUUAUCAGUAUCAUAUGUGAAUGAAAAGGAAUGUGAAGUAUGUAACUUGUUUACUAUACCUAGAUAAGGUUUAUAUGUGACGAUGCAUAAAGAGAAUCAAGACUAACAAAACAUCAACAUAGAGUCGCAAUUUGACCUUUGUAUUUGUAGUUUUUUCUAGGGUUUCUAAACAUGGUUGUAGUACACAUACCAAGCAAUAAAUAAAUCCAACCCUUUAUUAAAAAUCAAGAAUGAUAUCAACAUAGAGUCAUAAUCUGACCUCUUUAUCUGCACUUUUUAUAGGGGUUUCGACAAUGGCUGCAAUAUACAAAUUCAACCCUUUAUUAAAAAUCAAAACUUUCAAAAUGAAAACCUGGAUGCGAUCAUGUGAUGAAGAACCUUAAUGGUUGGAAUCGAUGAUGUUGGAACACAGAUCUCCUUCGGUUUUUGUUCAUAACCUAAACAAAGAAAAAAGAAAGCUAAGUAGAGAAAUGGAGCACAUGAAUCAAAUAUGAUAGGAAGGAGAAACCAGAAGUGCACCCUUUGAAUCUCCCGAUAUUGUGGAUGGGAGUGGGCGGAAUCGACAAUUUUAGGGGUGGGGGCGGCCGGAAUCUAACUCGAAAGAAAGGAAAAAACCUGCGAUGUUGAAUGGUGAUGGUAGCCGACUGAAUUUAGGUUAUGAGAGUGGUAUCAAAAAGGGUCUCAAUUCGAGUGGAAUUUGGGGGAAUGAAAUGAAAUAAGAUAAGAGGGGGAAAAGAUGGAUUCGGUUCUUAAUUACUGUAUACAUAUAGUUCUCGAGUUCCCAUUGGCUACACAGUGUC